Molecule: long non-coding RNA, 749 nt
Filed under: Octopus vulgaris (common octopus)
Lineage: Eukaryota; Metazoa; Mollusca; Cephalopoda; Octopoda; Octopodidae
Source: RNAcentral
UUUCUAGAUAUUUUUGUUGUUGUUAGUGAAGAAUGUUGUUGGACUCGUCACUACCACCACCACCACCACCAUCACCACUAUUUUCACUGUCGAUAUCGUGUUAGUUGUUGUGGUGGUGCUUAUCAUCAUCGUUACCGUUGUCAGCAUCAUCGUCAUCAUCACCACCGUAUUGAUUCUCGUCCAUUGUUUAUUAUUGCUUGUGUUGUUAUUGUUGCUGUUGUCAAUCUGCGUUGUCAUUUAUUUUAUAUUAUAGUACACAAGCUGUUUUGUUGCUUCUCUGUGACCGUCUCCGUCUCUACCACUGCUGCUAGCGGCGCUGACGCCGCCGCCGUCGUCUGCUCUUUGUCGUCGUCAUCGUCAUCGUAGUCAUGGUCGUUGUCGCCUGCUCAGCUUAAACGCCGAUCUGGCAGUCUUUAAAUCAACACUAAAUUCUUUGAAUUGUUUUUAAAAGUGAGUAAACAAUAAACCCCAGACAAAAUAUAUAGAUAUAUAUAUAUAUUUUCUUAAACUUAAUCAACAGGUGAACAACCGGCCGACUGAAAAUAGUCACAGUUCUGCAAUGGACGACAAACUUAUCCGGAACCUACGUUUUUUAUUAUUUGUUUUAUAAACAGUUUGUUUAUGGAUACGUAAAGUAAAUUUCAAAGGAUAACAGAAGCUUCUCACGGAAAUAUUCCCCUUAUUUUUUGGAGUAUAGUAGCUGUAUGAAGGAGAGAAACUUGGGGAGAUACAUAACAUUAAGGAUUAAG